UGGUGCGCCUGCGCGGGAUGUGGUGCGCCUGCGCACGCACGCGGCCGACGACGGCAUCCAUUUUUCCGUGCCCGCAGUCUGAGCGCGGCAGUGACUGAGGGCACGUAGGGACCGAGGGAGUUUGGAAGGGCGAGCUGCCUGGCACAGAGGGGAAGAAAGAGAGCGGGAUGCUCCGGCCGUAGACCUGCUGCCCAGAAGCCCUUUCAAACUUCACCUUCACAGUCUGCACAGACUGGGAAUCUCCAAAACCUCAGGACCUGGGCCUUCCGAGCUGCCUCUCCCACGUUUUCCCACGAGCAGCGGCAGCCGCCCCCGCUGCCUGCCCUUCCCGCCCCGCUCACUCCCCGCUGCUCUCCUGGGGCUUCCUGGAGCCACUUCCCAGUGAGCUGCUUGUCCCCAAGUCUGCCUCGGGGCUGGCUCCCAGAGGAACCCAGACUCAGGCCGUCCCGAAGCAAGGCCGCCUCUGCUGAGUCUCCUGCCGUGGACAGAGGAGUGAGGGGGGCGAGGAAACGCGGUGAUUGUUCUGAGGAAGAAGAAAGAAAACAGCAAGGAAGCCUCACUUGGACCCCUAUGAUUCCAUCUCCAGCCUGCCCAGUCAGCACUCCCCAUGUCCCGAAGCCCCUACCCUCCAAAUUAUCUGUAAAAAACGUGAUCCCCAAAUGAGCA
This is a long non-coding RNA of Sapajus apella (tufted capuchin), 666 nucleotides long. RefSeq lists it as uncharacterized. NCBI's taxonomy places the organism in Eukaryota, Metazoa, Chordata, Mammalia, Primates, Cebidae. The record is from RefSeq and is a predicted model, not a curated record. The transcript is spliced from 2 exons.